GGUCGAGAGGAUGGCUCAGCCGUUAAAGGCUAGGCCAAAAAUAACACCUAUAAGAGUUCGGUUCCCAGCACCACGGCUGUCCUUCCAGCACCUUUU
RNAcentral lists this unclassified non-coding RNA (96 nucleotides) under Rattus norvegicus (Norway rat). Lineage: Eukaryota; Metazoa; Chordata; Mammalia; Rodentia; Muridae. The record is from RNAcentral.